RNAcentral lists this ribosomal RNA (253 nucleotides) under uncultured bacterium. RNAcentral describes it as "partial 16S ribosomal RNA". It matches the Rfam family "Bacterial small subunit ribosomal RNA", at positions 524 to 776 of the family's 1533-position model. The record is from RNAcentral.
UACGUAGGUGGCAAGCGUUGUCCGGAUUUAUUGGGCGUAAAGGGAGCGCAGGUGGUUUCUUAAGUCUGAUGUGAAAGCCCACGGCUUAACCGUGGAGGGUCAUUGGAAACUGGGGAACUUGAGUGCAGAAGAGGAAAGCGGAAUUCCAUGUGUAGCGGUGAAAUGCGUAGAUAUAUGGAGGAACACCAGUGGCGAAAGCGGCUUUCUGGUCUGUAAAUGACACUGAGGCUCGAAAGCGUGGGGAGCAAACAGG